UACGGAGGUGGCAAGCGUUACUCGGAAUUAUUGGGCGUAAAGGGUAUGUAGGUGAUAGAAUUCGAUAAGCAGAAAUGGCAAAUAAUGUGUUUGCUGCAGCUUAAUACGGUGUUCUAUUUGAAAAUGUAGAGGUUGGCAGAAUUACUAAUGUAGAGGUAAAAUGUGACGAGAUUAGUAGGAAUACCAAGGGCGAAGGCAGCCUUCCAACAGUUUUGACACUGAUGUACUAAAGCAUGGGGAUCAAACAGG
This 249-nucleotide ribosomal RNA is filed under the name uncultured bacterium. RNAcentral describes it as "partial 16S ribosomal RNA". It matches the Rfam family "Bacterial small subunit ribosomal RNA", at positions 524 to 776 of the family's 1533-position model. The record is from RNAcentral.